RNAcentral lists this unclassified non-coding RNA (347 nucleotides) under soil metagenome. Its description in RNAcentral is "partial contains 5.8S ribosomal RNA, internal transcribed spacer 2, and large subunit ribosomal RNA". The stretch from base 1 to 120 matches the Rfam family "5.8S ribosomal RNA", at positions 35 to 154 of the family's 154-position model. The record is from RNAcentral.
GAUGAAGAACGUAGCGAAAUGCGAUAAGUAAUGUGAAUUGCAGAAUUCAGAGAAUCAUCGAAUCUUUGAACGCACAUUGCGCCCGCUAGUAUUCUGGCGGGCAUGCCUGUCCGAGCGUCAUUUCAACCCUCAAGCCCCUCCGGGGGCCUGGCGUUGGGGAUCGGCCCCGCUCCGGCGGCCGGCCCCGAAAUGUAGUGGCGGUCUCGCCGCUGCCUCCUCUGCGUAGUAGAAACACCUCGCAUUGGGACGCGGCGGGCCCACGCCGUUAACCAGAUGAAUUUUUUCAAGGUUGACCUCGGAUCAGGUAGGAAUACCCGCUGAACUUAAGCAUAUCAAUAAGCGGAGGA